GACAAGCAGAGCGGCUGGUUCGCCGUGCUGUUCUCGGAAAACUGGGCGCUGGUGGGUCGCUUCCGCCGCCUGCUG
This 75-nucleotide transfer RNA is filed under the name Stenotrophomonas maltophilia. RNAcentral's name for it is "tRNA-Pro". The record is from RNAcentral. Lineage: Bacteria; Pseudomonadati; Pseudomonadota; Gammaproteobacteria; Lysobacterales; Lysobacteraceae.